This 253-nucleotide ribosomal RNA is filed under the name uncultured bacterium. RNAcentral's name for it is "partial 16S ribosomal RNA". It matches the Rfam family "Bacterial small subunit ribosomal RNA", at positions 524 to 776 of the family's 1533-position model. The record is from RNAcentral.
GACGAGCCUCACAAACGUUAUUCGGAAUUACUGGGCUUAAAGGGUGCGUAGGCGGCGCGGAAAGUUGGGUGUGAAAUCCCUCGGCUCAACCGAGGAAUUGCGCUCAAAACUACCGUGCUCGAGGGAGAUAGAGGAAUGCGGAACUUACGGUGGAGCGGUGAAAUGCGUUGAUAUCGUAGGGAACACCGGUGGCGAAAGCGGCAUUCUGGAUCUCAUCUGACGCUGAUGCACGAAAGCUAGGGUAGCAAACGGG